This 253-nucleotide ribosomal RNA is filed under the name uncultured bacterium. RNAcentral's name for it is "partial 16S ribosomal RNA". It matches the Rfam family "Bacterial small subunit ribosomal RNA", at positions 524 to 776 of the family's 1533-position model. The record is from RNAcentral.
UACGGGGGGGGCAAGCGUUAUUCGGAAUUAUUGGGCGUAAAGGGCGCGUAGGCGGCCAUGCGUGUCUUCCGUGAAAUCCCUCGGCUCAACCGAGGACGUGCGGAAGAAACUGCAAGGCUCGAGUCCGGAAGAGGGGGGCGGAAUUCCCAGUGUAGCGGUGAAAUGCGUAGAGAUCAGGAGGAACACCCGUGGCGAAGGCGGCCUUCUGGGUCCGCCCUGACGCUGAGGCGCGAAAGCCAGGGGAGCAAACGGG